This 253-nucleotide ribosomal RNA is filed under the name uncultured bacterium. RNAcentral describes it as "partial 16S ribosomal RNA". It matches the Rfam family "Bacterial small subunit ribosomal RNA", at positions 524 to 776 of the family's 1533-position model. The record is from RNAcentral.
UACGUAGGGUGCAAGCGUUGUCCGGAAUUAUUGGGCGUAAAGAGCUCGUAGGCGGUCUGUUACGUCGGCUGUGAAAACCUGGGGCUCAACCCCGGGCCUGCAGCCGAUACGGGCAGACUAGAAUUCGGUAGGGGAGACUGGAAUUCCUGGUGUAGCGGUGAAAUGCGCAGAUAUCAGGAGGAACACCGGUGGCGAAGGCGGGUUUCUGGGCCGAUAUUGACGCUGAGGAGCGAAAGCGUGGGGAGCGAACAGG